Molecule: non-coding RNA, 2291 nt
Organism: Durio zibethinus
Lineage: Eukaryota; Viridiplantae; Streptophyta; Magnoliopsida; Malvales; Malvaceae
Source: RefSeq, a predicted model, not a curated record
UCCAGGAAAACAAAAAAGAGCUACUUUCUUUGCUUUUUCCUCAUAGCCAAACAAUCCCUUUCCCUAUCCUUUUCCCAUGACGGUUUUUGGCCGUUGCUCCAGAGCUGCUUUGGUGGCGACAACGCCGACACCAACCGCCAAUGAUACAUUCGCUUACGUAAUUCGAGCUCUCUCUUCUUCUUUGUAUUCUUCUUCGACGUUAAAUUCCGAAACUGACCUCAAUCAUAAUAAACCGGCCGUGUUGGGGAUUUUGAAGAGAGAACCGAAGGGUAGAAAUGUCCAGUGGGUAUUUUUAGGGUUUCCCGGCGUCGGCAAAGGCACCUACGCUUCGCGGUUGUCGAAUCUUCUCGGUGUUCCUCACAUCGCCACCGGUGAUCUUGUCCGUGAUGAACUUGCUUCUUCUGGUCCCCUUUCUUCGCAGUUAAAGGAGAUUGUUAGCCAGGGUAAAUUAGUUUUAGAUGAAAUCAUAAUUGAUCUACUGUCCAAACCUCUUGAAGCAGGAGAACCUAGGGGUGAAUCUGGGUUCAUUCUUGAUGGUUUUCCUCGAACAAUAAGACAGGCAGAAAUAUUAGAGGAAGUGACAGACAUUGACUUAGUGGUUAACCUGAAGCUUAGGAAAGAAGCAUUCCUUGCAAAAUGCCUUGGAAGAAGGAUUUGUAGUGAGUGUGGAGGAAACUACAAUGUUGCUUGUAUUGAUAUCAAGGCUGAGAAUGGGAGGCCUGGAAUGUACAUGGCUCCUCUUCCUCCUCCUCCUCAAUGUGCAUCCAAGCUUUUUACUCGAGCUGAUGAUAUUGAAGAAGUUGUUAAGGAACGGCUCCGCAUAUACCAUGAGAUCGUAUUUCUCACAUUCCCAUAUAUUUUUCUCAAUUGCAUUCCUGAGAAUUUAAUUAACUGUUGCAGGGAAUUUUUGGGUGUAAUCUGUAUGUUUCCAAAUUACAAGAUAUAAUCUAGCCACCAAAUAUGCCAUAUUGCUAUUUAGACUCAACCUGUAAAGGAUUUCUAUCGUAGUCAUGGGAAGUUGUUAGAAUUUGAUCUUCCUGGAGGAAUCCCAGAAUCCUGGCCAAAGCUGCUUCGAGCUUUAAAUCUUGAAGAUCAGGAAGACAAACAGUUUGCAGCUGCAUGAUUUAAUACAUCUCUGUACCAUUUGAAGUAUUUUUGCAAGUGAUUUUAGACUCAAAGCUUCAAGAUGAAUGCAUCUGUCAAAAUCAUUACGCAAACAAAUGGAAUCACUGAGAGAAUUGUGGCUCUGCAAAUGUUAAAACAUCAAGAGAAACUCAAAGAGAGUAAUGAUAGUGUUGCGAGUUAAAAUCAGCAGGCAUGAUUUUCAGCAUAAUGAUCAGCCAAGUGAACGGAGUGUAGUUUACGUUUUGCGUUAGUCAUCAGUUGAGACAGAAAACCAAAUGCUUGAAACCCAAAAAAAAAAAAAAAAGAGAUCACCUAUGAAUUUCAAGCUUUAACUUGAGGGUCAUGCUUUAAAUUGGUCCUGGAAUUGUCUCCAAUCAAGAAAAUGCAGUUAUCAUCCUUUGGAAACGAAGACAUUGCAAUCUUGUACACAAUUUCAUGGCUCAAGCUCUUAGGACUAUACCAGCAAUGAAUAAGUUUCUGCCAACAUUUUAUGGUCAUGAGGGAUAUAAUUAUCUUUUGCUGCAAGAAAAUGACUUAUUAAUGUUUUGGAGCAUUCUGAUAAUUCGCGUUAGCUCAGUCAGUGUUUCAUCUCACUUGGCAACAUAUGAGCAUAUUGAUUUUGGAGCAAUCAUUUGAACGUGAAAUUACACAAACGCAAGAAAAAUAUUCGGCCUUUGUGUUUAGUCUAUCUUCCAUCUCUUCUAAUUUCAUGUUUUACCUUUUAGAUCGAGCUCGGCACCAACAGAGGUUGUGAAGUUGAAUAAAGCUCACAGUAAAAUUCAACCACCAAUAUGAGCCAAGGUUUUAACGGGUGGGAGUUUGAUGAUCUCUAUAGGAUUUGAGUGGGAGAACAAAUUCGCCAUAUAUAUCUCACAGUCAUGGCGGUUAACGUAGGCCAGUCGCCCAUUUGACGACCCUGCAAGGUGGGCGUCGGCGAUCUCCUCCGGCAAUACCAUCUACAAAAGAUUCAAACAUUUGCUUGUCUACUGGGUUGUAGAAGUGAAAAUUCACCGUCUUUUCAUUAUCCCCACCGCCGACAGGCUGAGCAUGUUCAAAAGGAAGCAUUAACAAAGAUGGAUGGUUUUGCCACCGAAGGUGAUGAUCAAAGAUUUAAAUUAUGGUACCAGUCAAGUUUUUGAUUACGUCACAUUUAUCAAGAUUAGAUA